RNAcentral lists this ribosomal RNA (439 nucleotides) under Chryseobacterium sp. PX-Cry.bt.sp.Ori. RNAcentral describes it as "bacterial SSU rRNA". It matches the Rfam family "Bacterial small subunit ribosomal RNA", at positions 39 to 471 of the family's 1533-position model. The record is from RNAcentral. Lineage: Bacteria; Pseudomonadati; Bacteroidota; Flavobacteriia; Flavobacteriales; Weeksellaceae.
GAGACAAACGGGAGAGGCUUAACCAUUGCAAGCCGAGCGGUUAGAGAUCUUUCGGGAUCUUGAGAGCGGCGUACGGGUGCGGAACACGUGUGCAACCUGCCUUUAUCUGGGGGAUAGCCUUUCGAAAGGAAGAUUAAUACCCCAUAAUAUACUGGAUGGCAUCAUUCGGUAUUGAAAACUCCGGUGGAUAGAGAUGGGCACGCGCAAGAUUAGAUAGUUGGUGAGGUAACGGCUCACCAAGUCUGCGAUCUUUAGGGGGCCUGAGAGGGUGAUCCCCCACACUGGUACUGAGACACGGACCAGACUCCUACGGGAGGCAGCAGUGAGGAAUAUUGGACAAUGGGUGAGAGCCUGAUCCAGCCAUCCCGCGUGAAGGACGACGGCCCUAUGUGUUGUAAACUUCUUUUGUAUAGGGAUAAACCUACCCACGUGAGGGUAG